Molecule: long non-coding RNA, 1468 nt
Filed under: Sinocyclocheilus grahami
Lineage: Eukaryota; Metazoa; Chordata; Actinopteri; Cypriniformes; Cyprinidae
Description: lncRNA (ENSSGRG00000027779.1)
Source: RNAcentral
UGAAGCAUUCAUGACAUUACACCUUUAGUUUAGAUUCACUUCCUCUUCCUGUCGCGUCUGAAUCUGUCGUCAUGGCGCAAAUAUUUACGUUACACAUAUAUUAUCGGUAAAGCAUCAGAUCUGUCUUCAGAAUGAACAUCCGGUCCUGACAGGAAGCGCUCCUGAUUGGACGAACACAGGGGAGCAUAGAUAUGUAUAGGUAGAUGCCUCAUUCGGAAGCGCCAUCUUGCAACGGUCAACGUGACGUCCUUCACUAUAAUAAUAAGUGCAUUUUCGAACAUGCCGCAAUGCUGCACAGCCGCUGGCUGUAAAAACCGCAGGGAAACGGGAUAACCUUUCCCAUGUGAGAAUGCGAGAGAGGGGCGGAACCAUUGAUAUGUAAGGAUUGUGGCAUCUUUGAAUAUACAUUGAUUAUUAUUAUUAUUAUUAUCGACUGAGGCAUCUACGUAUAGAGCUAUGCAGGUGGGCGUGUCGUUGUGCGGCUGACGUCAUCGGGAGGUGACGCGCUCUAUGCGCCUUUCCAGAGCCAUUGAUCAGUGUUGUUCCUGAUUACAUUCGCGUUAAUUACACCGCUGACUGUAAUUACUCAUCUGAACAUAGAUGUCAGAUCAUUUGGCAGAAAGCAGUUGUAACCCUCUGACGGUAUUUCUGGUGUUUAGAGGAGAGUCUGAUGUGAAUCAGGAGAGAGUGAUGCUCUGCAUCUCUGACUUCUGUGCUUUUGUCUCUGAGCUACAUCUCUUUAAUUCAUUGGCUUUAUGCCAGUCAUCUGACGUGAACAUCACGAAGCAGGGCUUUAAUAAAGCCUGUGACAGUCCCACAGCUGAUGAGCUGAAGAUCUGUCCUCACAGCGAGACCUCACCCUCAAGUCUAAGCCUUCAGUAAAACAGAUGAGAGCGGGUCAUCCUAAAACAUGGCCACUUCUCUAAGCAGCAUCAGUAAAGCCAGCAGAGCUCUGUAGGAGUCCCCAGCAUGAGCUCACAAGCACAUCUGCUGCAGUACUGGCUCUUUAAUGUACUGAAGUAUUAAAAGUACUGGUCGGUGACUGUUUUCGUCUGAAGUCAAAGUCAGUUUCUCAAAAUAAAAAUACUCCGAUAAAGUACAGAUACUUGAUAAAUGUACUGAAGUACAGUAACGGAGUAAAAGAAAAGCUUUGUUACUGUCCUCCACUGCCAUUGUUUCCAGUAGAGGAACAUUCGCCACAGAGCCAGCAAUACUCGCUGUGAACAACCUCAGGUUUACUAGACCUAGAGCACUCGACUAGCAAACAAGAGGAGGACACACUGUGUGAGUGCAUUAGUUCAGGCUUGGAGUGCUUAAAGACAGGCUUUAUCCUCUGAUCUGAUGAGGUUUGCAGCUUUCUCCAGAGCAGCAGCUUAAAGAGGCUCUGUGACUCAGAACUUUCUUACACGGUAUGAUUAUUCAGGCUUCAUACAGCCGUAUUAGCCUGAACCUUUGCUUUAAAGCAGCA